Molecule: ribosomal RNA, 449 nt
Filed under: uncultured bacterium
Lineage: Bacteria
Description: bacterial SSU rRNA
Rfam family: Bacterial small subunit ribosomal RNA
Source: RNAcentral
AUCCAGACUCCUACGGGAGGCAGCAGUGGGGAAUAUUGCACAAUGGGGGAAACCCUGAUGCAGCAACGCCGCGUGAGUGAAGAAGUAUUUCGGUAUGUAAAGCUCUAUCAGCAGGGAAGAGAAUGACGGUACCUGACUAAGAAGCCCCGGCUAACUACGUGCCAGCAGCCGCGGUAAUACGUAGGGGGCAAGCGUUAUCCGGAUUUACUGGGUGUAAAGGGGGCGUAGACGGCUGGCCAAGUCUGAAGUGAAAGCCCGGGGCUUAACCCCGGAACGGCUUUGGAAACUGGCCGGCUGGAGUGCUGGAGAGGCAGGCGGAAUUCCUGGUGUAGCGGUGGAAUGCGUAGAUAUCAGGAGGAACACCGGUGGCGAAGGCGGCCUGCUGGACAGUAACUGACGUUGAGGCUCGAAAGCGUGGGGAGCAAACAGGAUUAGAUACCCUAGUAUUG